Eptesicus fuscus (big brown bat) is the source of this 736-nucleotide long non-coding RNA. RefSeq lists it as uncharacterized. Lineage: Eukaryota; Metazoa; Chordata; Mammalia; Chiroptera; Vespertilionidae. The record is from RefSeq and is a predicted model, not a curated record. The transcript has 3 exons.
UCCACCCACCUUUGGGAGAUGCCUUUGUCCCCAACAGACUCCUAAAAUGACCAGUUGGGUUUAGACCAAUGCAGGCUACCGCCCCCAGUGAUUAACCAGCACUCCUUACUGAUGUUCUCUUAUUCUUCUAUCACUGAGCUAUCCCAGCUACAGGUCAAUGAGGACAACGAUGCUGAGUCUCCCUUUCCGACAAGAAUAACGGGAGAGAGUGCUUUAUUUGCAAGCACUUGGUGAAAUGAAGCUCAGUGUAACCGGUGUGUGUUGUCUGCGAUGAGCCCCCUUGCUCCCCUCCAGAUCACUACAUGAUGGGUGAGCUGCACAGUGAAAUCAAUCUCAGGAACGAUAAAUAUAUUUUUUAAAAAAGCUUAAAAAAAAAAAAAAAAGAGCAGCAAUUGAGAAGAGAACAAAAGAAGAGACAUGAACAGCAAAUCUGACCGUGGCGAUCCUCGUGCUCUGACGAAUCCAACCACAGAAGCACACGGUUCUUCUUUUUUUAAUGUUAAAGGGAACGCUAGUCAAUUCAUUGUCAUAUAAACUACCUGAGAGACUACGGCCAGACUGGGAUGGUCUUCCAUUGGUGCUGGAGAUCUGGGUGCUGACACCCCAGAGGCAGAGUGGGGGGCCUCUGGGCCGGUGCCUGACCUGCCUUCUUCAGCACAAGCGAUAUCACCAGGGCUCGCACCUGGACCUGGGCCCCGAGUUCUCGGGUUUAUUAUGGAGAACGUUAUUGUCAUCA